AACGCGAAGAACCUUACCUACUCUUGAAUCCAGAGAAUCUUUCAGAAAUGAGGGAGUGCCUUCGGGAGCUCUGAGACAGGUGCUGCAUGGCUGUCGUCAGCUCGUGUCGUGAGAUGUUGGGUUAAGUCCCGUAACGAGCGCAACCCUUAUCCUUAGUUACCAUCGAGUAAAGUCGGGGACUUUAAGGAGACUGCCGGUGAUAAACCGGAGGAAGGUGGGGAUGACGUCAAGUCCUCAUGGCCCUUACGAGUAGGGCUACACACGUGCUACAAUGGCCGGUACAAAGGGUAGCGAACCCGCGAGGGGGAGCCAAUCUCAAAAAGCCGGUCAUAGUCCGGAUUGGAGUCUGCAACUCGACUCCAUGAAGCUGGAAUCGCUAGUAAUCGCGGAUCAGAACGCCGCGGUGAAUACGUUCCCGGGCCUUGUACACACCGUGUCGA
RNAcentral lists this ribosomal RNA (440 nucleotides) under uncultured bacterium. Its description in RNAcentral is "bacterial SSU rRNA". It matches the Rfam family "Bacterial small subunit ribosomal RNA", at positions 958 to 1400 of the family's 1533-position model. The record is from RNAcentral.